AGGUCCAGACACACCGGACGCGAUUCGACAACGCGACGCGAUUUUUCGAUUUUCACUGACCGAUAACUUUGGUUCUAAUUUAAAUUUUCCAAAUAUUUAGAAGCGCUAUAACAUUUGGAGUUAUUUGGUCUACGUAUCGUUCAAAACUUGCUCUCAUUGGCUGUUUUAUUAACUUUCAAAAACUAAAAAAUCGCGUCGCGUUGUCGAAUCGCGUCCGGUGUGUCUGGACCU
Paramuricea clavata is the source of this 231-nucleotide non-coding RNA. The record is from the annotation of a GenBank genome assembly. NCBI's taxonomy places the organism in Eukaryota, Metazoa, Cnidaria, Anthozoa, Malacalcyonacea, Plexauridae.